RNAcentral lists this unclassified non-coding RNA (607 nucleotides) under Hevea brasiliensis (rubber tree). The record is from RNAcentral. Lineage: Eukaryota; Viridiplantae; Streptophyta; Magnoliopsida; Malpighiales; Euphorbiaceae.
UAUGCCAGCGGUCGUACCACCGGUGAGUGAUAUAUUCCAUCAUCUGUUUCUUGUUUUCUCAAUUUGAUGCAUGGGAGUUAGAGCUACAGCAUUGAUUCUUUUUAUUUUUGUUAUAUAUAUAAAAAGGUCGAGUUGUGAAAUCCCCAAAUGAUAUUUAGAAGCAGAGAUCAUAUUUGUCUGAUAUUAGAAUUGAGAUAGAGAAAUGGUUCACCUUAUAAUGAACAUUUCUAGUUGAUUGAAAAUUAGUCAAAGCUCAGAAAAAAAGGGUACAUGUAAAUCACUAUGAAGAAGGGAAUAUUCUUAAUAUUUGUAAACCAUCAGCAUUUCUAUUGUCUAAGUUGCCAUGCAAUCUAUUUUCAAAAAUUAGCAGCAUAGGUCGCAUGACUAACAAAAACAUGAAUUAAAUUUGUUUCCAGUAAUUAUUUUUGGAAAUUUAUAUAAUAUCUAUUGGAUAACUUUAGCCUCAUGAAAGCCACACAGGUGUCUUUAACAACAUUCAUUUUGUAUAGCCUACUCUUGCCAUGGCUCUUUUAUGAUGGAGAUGAAUUGUGGGAAUUAAUAUUUUCAUGAUCCAUGUGGUAUGUUUAGGUAUUGUUCUGGACUCUGG